This 208-nucleotide long non-coding RNA is filed under the name Nicotiana benthamiana. Its description in RNAcentral is "long non-coding RNA (NBEN_LNC011682)". The record is from RNAcentral. Lineage: Eukaryota; Viridiplantae; Streptophyta; Magnoliopsida; Solanales; Solanaceae.
CAGUAUCCUGCAAUUUCGCCUUUUUGAUCAACAAGGGAUUGAAUCACUUCAAGGGGGGAACUCCUGGGUUGAGCUUACGAGGACUGUCAUUUCAAGGACGAUCAGUCCGGAUUUGACCGAUGUCGACAGUCUCGCCACGGCCUAUUGUCUUUUUCUGGAGAAGGGCCCGUCGAGUGAGAUAAUGAACGAUGCCCCGAUAAUCCUGAUC